RNAcentral lists this ribosomal RNA (280 nucleotides) under Faecalibacterium prausnitzii. Its description in RNAcentral is "partial 16S ribosomal RNA". It matches the Rfam family "Bacterial small subunit ribosomal RNA", at positions 524 to 801 of the family's 1533-position model. The record is from RNAcentral. Lineage: Bacteria; Bacillati; Bacillota; Clostridia; Eubacteriales; Oscillospiraceae.
AACGUAGGUCACAAGCGUUGUCCGGAAUUACUGGGUGUAAAGGGAGCGCAGGCGGGAAGACAAGUUGGAAGUGAAAUCUAUGGGCUCAACCCAUAAACUGCUUUCAAAACUGUUUUUCUUGAGUAGUGCAGAGGUAGGCGGAAUUCCCGGUGUAGCGGUGGAAUGCGUAGAUAUCGGGAGGAACACCAGUGGCGAAGGCGGCCUACUGGGCACCAACUGACGCUGAGGCUCGAAAGUGUGGGUAGCAAACAGGAUUAGAUACCCCGCCGGCUGACUGACU